GCCUUUGCAAAUGGUUUAUACACACACUCGCAAAGGAGGAGCAGCUGAUGCAAGACCUGCCACAGAAAGACGGUCCAAAGGACUGACCCAGCAGCUCAUGUGAAACUCUGCGGAGUUCUGGACAUAAAUACAUCUGUGAACCAAAACCAGUCAGGACAAACACUCUUAAUUGAAUUAAACUUUCAUUAAGCUUGAUUAUUUUAUUUUGCUUUUGACAAAGGCCUUUGCAUUUAUUAUUACAUCUGUGGCUAAAACUGAAAUAGUUUCUAAAUUUCCCAUGGGUAGCUCAUUGUUGUUUCACCCACCAGUGCCUGGCACAAGGGGGAAAACGGUGAGAAAAGCAAGCCAAAUCAAUUUAUCAGUAGUGCUAACUUAUCAGCCCUUUCUCAAAUCACAUGCCCCACAGUGUAACUCGAAUGACCAGUUUUUCCUUCCAUUAGCAAGUACAUUAAGGGAAAGUGAUCUCCCUGCCAGCAAGUGUCAGAUGCACCAGAUACUGUAUCCUAUCUGGACAUUAAAGUUAUAUGCAGGGCCUCCGGCUGGAUUUCGGUUUGGUUUCUAGCAACAUCAGCACAAAGGAACGACCGUGGCUAACAAACAAGUAUAAAGUACAACUUUUUAUCUCCUGAAGUAAAACAAUCUUCCCACAACCAUAAAUUAUCUACCAGUAAAGAAAUUCAGCCUUGACUCCUAGCAGCAGAAAGUAGAAGAGGCCCUUCUCCUGCAGCCAGCCUCCUCUGCUGCAGCCCUGGUCAUGGACAACACCAGCUCUGUCCUCCCCACAUCCUGCUGGAAAGGGGCAUUCCCAGCACCAACAGAAUUCCAGGUAACUGAGCCAAAACAUCCACUUGCAGCUCUGGGAAUGGGUCUUGCUGCAGCGACAGAUGCAUCCAGGACCUUGCUCUUAGUUAAUAAAUUCCAUUAUCACUGGAAAAAAAAUCCAGCUGGUUCAAAGCACACUAAGGUCUAUGCAGAGAAGGAAGGACAGUUGUGAGCGCGCUACUCUGUCAUCUGCAGUGGCUCUAAGCCAGAUGUCAAGGCUGUUCAAAGCUGUAUUUAUAACCUGCAGCACUCCCACUUGUAGAAGCUCCAGUCGUGUCCCACUGCAACCACGGAACUACAAACAACAUUCGCUAGCAAUGGUAAGAAUUGCUUCCACCCAAGAGGAGUUGUUACACUUCUACCAACUUUCAGAACUGGCUGCUUCUUCAAUUUCUCUGAAUUCUUUUGAUAAUCGAUUACUUCUAACUUAAAAUAAAAUAAAAUAAAAUAAGAUUCACUAUCAUUAGAAAAGCCAAAUUAUUCAGACUGCCCUAUAGUUUGGAAAAAUAUUAUGUUGCACAGUUUGAGGGACUGAAAGUAACUUUCAUCACAAGUUUUUUACAUUAAUCCAAGUGAUGACUUCAGAGCAUCUCUGACAAUCCACUGGGAUUUGUUUCAAUUUUGGCUAUCUAUAACUAUUGCUUUUGAAAAGUCUGAUAGCUGUUCUUAGACCGAGUAUUUAACUUCUUUGUAUUUUACUGCUUACUUGGUCUUUCUCUUCUGCCAGGCUUGCUGCAAAGCCUUUAGCAACACCAAAAGCAGUGUUUAGAAGCUGGUUACGAUCAAAUUCACCUUAUCUAAAGUGGUGGCACAAUAAUUUUUGUUAUUUUUGUUUAUGCAGGAGACCUAGGGAAAAGCAGUUGACUGAUGUGUGAGAUGAGCCACAACAGCACGUAGUUCGUGGUAGAUAGACCAGAGAGAGCAACAGAUACAAUCUGUCUAGUCUUACAUUGGCAAACACGAACAAAAAUUUAUUACCAAACUCCACCUAACUGAAUUUACCUUUUUACAGUGUGGCCACAGAACAGCUGCUGCGCCUAUUUCAAAAUGCCAGCUCACAGAAACACAACAGCUGAAGGAUCACUGCUGGGUACUGAAGAGAAACCUUUAUGCUAUUUUGUUACUCAAAACUUAAGUCUCCUUCCUACUAAAUAAAUAAAUAAAUACAAAUACAU
Long non-coding RNA from Gallus gallus (chicken), 1997 nucleotides. The record is from Ensembl. Lineage: Eukaryota; Metazoa; Chordata; Aves; Galliformes; Phasianidae.